GGAUGUUGGCUCAGAAGCAGCCACCAUUAAAAGAGUGCGUAAUAGCUCACUGGUCGAGAGACUCUGCGCCGAAGAUGUCCGGGGCUAAAGUACGGAACCGAAGCUUUGGCAAUUGACAUUAGUCAAUUGGGUAGGGGAGCGUUCCUGCAUGGGAGAAGCCUGACCGGAAGGACAGGUGGACAGGCAGGAAGAGAGAAUGCCGGUAUGAGUAGCGAAAAGAAGGGUGAGAAUCCCUUCCACCGAAAGCCUAAGGGUUCCUGGGCAACGAUCGUCGUCCCAGGGUAAGUCGGGACCUAAUCCGAGGCGGAGACGCGUAGGAGAUGGACAACAGGUUGAAAUUCCUGUACUGGCUGAGGCCGUUUGAGCGAAGGAGUGACACAGGAAGGAAGGCGCGCGUGCGAUUGGAAGAGCACGUCCAAGCAGGUAGGUUGGGAGACAGGCAAAUCCGUUUCCCGAGAGGCCGAGAUGCGAUGGGGAGCUUCUGGAGACAGAAGCGAAGGGGCUGGCACUAAACUGUCGAGAAAAGCUUCUAGUGAGGACUCAGGCACCCGUACCGAAACCGACACAGGUAGGCAGGAUGAGAAUUCUAAGGUGCGCGGGAAAACCCUCGUUAAGGAACUCGGCAAAAUAUAUCCGUAACUUCGGGAAAAGGAUAACCCAGCGUACGUGAAGUGCAGAAGCGCACGGAGCGGAGAUGGGUGGCAGAAGAGAGGCCCAAGCGACUGUUUACCACAAACACAGGCGUCUGCUAAAGCGAAAGCUGAUGUAUAGAUGCUGACACCUGCCCGGUGCUGGAAGGUUAAGAGGAAGUGUUAGCGCAAGCGAAGCAGUGAAUUGAAGCCCCAGUAAACGGCGGCCGUAACUAUAACGGUCCUAAGGUAGCGAAAUUCCUUGUCGGGUAAGUUCCGACCCGCACGAAAGGUGUAACGACUUGGGCACUGUCUCAACGAGGGACCCGGUGAAAUUGAAGUACCUGUGAAGAUGCAGGUUACCCGCGACUGGACAGAAAGACCCCAUGGAGCUUUACUGUAACCUGAGAUUGGAUUCCGGUAAGAGAUGUACAGGAUAGUUGGGAGGCUUAGAUACAAGUACGCCAGUAUUUGUGGAGCCAUUGGUGGGAUACCAACCUUGUUUUAUUGGAAUUCUAACGAGAAGCGUAACGAGCUUGCGGACAGUCUCAGGCGGGCAGUUUGACUGGGGCGGUCGCCUCCGAAAGAGUAACGGAGGCGCCCAAAGGUUCCCUCAGCGCGGCCGGAAAUCGCGCGAAGAGUGUAAAGGCAGAAGGGAGCUUGACUGCGAGUCAAACACGACGAGCAGGUACGAAAGUAGGGCUUAGUGAUCCGGUGGUACCGAGUGGAAGGGCCAUCGCUCAACGGAUAAAAGCUACCCUGGGGAUAACAGGCUAAUCUCUCCCAAGAGUCCAUAUCGACGGGGAGGUUUGGCACCUCGAUGUCGGCUCAUCACAUCCUGGGGCUGAAGUAGGUCCCAAGGGUUGGGCUGUUCGCCCAUUAAAGUGGUACGCGAGCUGGGUUCAGAACGUCGUGAGACAGUUCGGUCCCUAUCCAUCGCGGGCGUAAGAAACUUGAAAGGGGCUGCUCCUAGUACGAGAGGACCGGAGUGGACCGACCAAUGGUGUACCAGUCAUGGCGCCAGCCGUGCAGCUGGGUAGCUACGUCGGGGACGGAUAAACGCUGAAAGCAUCUAAGCGUGAAACCAGCCUAGAGAUGAGGUUUCUCAUUGUUUUAACAAGUAAGGUCCCACAAAGACGAUGUGGUUGAUAGGCCGGGAGUGGAAGUACAGCGAUGUACGGAGCGGACCGGUACUAAUAGACCGAGGACUUGACUUA
RNAcentral lists this ribosomal RNA (1846 nucleotides) under human gut metagenome. Its description in RNAcentral is "bacterial LSU rRNA". It matches the Rfam family "Bacterial large subunit ribosomal RNA", at positions 1096 to 2925 of the family's 2925-position model. The record is from RNAcentral.